CAUUACCGAGAGUAAAUGGAUGUGCAUAUUCAUCUCUGGGAAUUCCGCGGCAUUCUUCUCGUUUCUUCCCGCGGCGAAAUUCCGAUCUUAGUUUCAACGUUCCUCAAGCUCGAUCAACCUCAGAGCCCUGAGAUCAGAAAGGACGAGAUCUAGGAGGAAAGCUUAAAAGCAUCACUACAUGGUAAAGACAGAGUUGGGAUGCCAGAGGCAUGAGAUCAAACGAGGUCAAAGUGGAUAGGCUCUGACCAUUUUGGGGUGUGCCUUUGGGUUCAUGAAUGGAACUAGAAGCUGCUCUGUGGUUUUGUUAGACUCGCACUUGCGGCCUUACCUAUGGGAAUGUUAAAAGCUUGGUAGUCCAUCAUAAAUCUGUUGCUUCUUCGUUUGGGACUAGCUAUGAAUAAGGCGAAAACUGCCCCUCAUAGGCACCAACAUCAACAUCCAAAAAGUUGAAUAUCAACUACAUUGUGGAAAGACUGCCUUGUAAUUAUCUAAGCUUCCCUUUAGGUGGAAAUUUUCGAUCGUUUGCUUUCAGGGAUUCGCUUGAGGACAAAGCAAGUCUAAGUUAGAUAAAUGGGGAGAGAGAGAGAGAGAACCCGACUUCUUUCAAAAGCUAGGAGAUUGAUUUUGGCAAAGUCCGUCCUGAAUAGUCUCACUAUCAAUUAUUUUUCUCUUUAGGUAGUUCCUUGGGCUGGGAUUCCAUCUACCUAUGGCCCUUAGGUUGUUCUCUUCCUUUUUUCUGGAAUAUAAAUCCUUGUUUCUUGUAAAAACUGUUGUAAAGGUUAGUUCAUAUAAAAUGUGAGUUUUAUAGCAUAAGUUUAUGUGCUUGUAUCGAAGGAUAAGCAAACGGACCUAUCUAACAUAGGUUCGACUUCUUAAAGUUGUAAGGUUCCUC
This is a non-coding RNA of Cucurbita pepo subsp. pepo (vegetable marrow), 892 nucleotides long. Lineage: Eukaryota; Viridiplantae; Streptophyta; Magnoliopsida; Cucurbitales; Cucurbitaceae. The record is from RefSeq and is a predicted model, not a curated record.